This 723-nucleotide ribosomal RNA is filed under the name Russula sp. RNAcentral's name for it is "partial large subunit ribosomal RNA". It matches the Rfam family "Eukaryotic large subunit ribosomal RNA", at positions 80 to 782 of the family's 3401-position model. The record is from RNAcentral. Lineage: Eukaryota; Fungi; Basidiomycota; Agaricomycetes; Russulales; Russulaceae.
CUAGUAACUGCGAGUGAAGCGGGAAAAGCUCAAAUUUAAAAUCUGGUGGCCUUUGGUCAUCCGAGUUGUAAUUUAGAGAAGCGUCUUCCGCGCUGGACCGUGCACAAGUCUCCUGGAAUGGAGCGUCGUAGAGGGUGAGAAUCCCGUCUUUGGCACGGACUCCCAGUGCUUCUGUGAUGCGCUCUCGAAGAGUCGAGUUGUUUGGGAAUGCAGCUCAAAAUGGGUGGUGAACUCCAUCUAAAGCUAAAUAUUGGCGAGAGACCGAUAGCGAACAAGUACCGUGAGGGAAAGAUGAAAAGCACUUUGGAAAGAGAGUGAAACAGUACGUGAAAUUGUUGAAAGGGAAACGCUUGAAGUCAGUCGCGUCGUCCGAGACUCAGCCUCGCCUCGGCUUGGUGUACUUCUCGGCCGACGGGUCAGCAUCAAUUUUGCCCCUUGGAUAAUGGCGAGGGAAAUGUGACACCUUUGCGGGUGUGUUAUAGUCUCUAGUCGCAUGCAAGGGUCGGGAUUGAGGAACUCAGCACGCGCCUUCGGGCGUCGGGGUUCGCCCACGAUACGUGCUUAGGAUGUUGGCGUAAUGGCUUUAAACGACCCGUCUUGAAACACGGACCAAGGAGUCUAACAUGCCCGCGAGUGUUCGGGUGGAAAACCCGUGCGCGCAAUGAAAGUGAAAGUUGGGACCUCUGUCGUGGAGGGCACCAACGCCCGGACCAGACCUUCUGU